This 461-nucleotide ribosomal RNA is filed under the name Scyliorhinus canicula (smaller spotted catshark). RNAcentral's name for it is "partial small subunit ribosomal RNA". The record is from RNAcentral. Lineage: Eukaryota; Metazoa; Chordata; Chondrichthyes; Carcharhiniformes; Scyliorhinidae.
UGUUAGGUUUGGUCCUGACCUUAGUGUUAAUUGCAACUAAAAUUAUACAUGCAAGUUUCAGCCCCCCUGUGAGAAUGCCCUAAGUAUUCUAUUAAAUAAUUAGGGGCGGGCAUCAGGCACACAUUUUACAUGUGGCCCAAGACGCCUUGCUCAGCCACACCCCUAAGGGUUUUCAGCAGUAAUAAACAUUGAUUAUAUAAGCGUAAGCUUGAAUCAGUUAAAGUCGACAGAGUUGGUAAAUCUCGUGCCAGCCACCGCGGUUAUACGAGUGACUCACAUUAACACUUCCCGGCGUAAAGUGUGAUUUAAGGAUGACCUCCAAAUAACUAUAGUUAUGACCUCAUCAAGCUGUUAUACGCAUUCGUGAACGGAAUAAUCAACAACGAAAGUGACUCUAAAUUACCAGGAAUCUUGAUGUCACGACAGUUGGGCCCCAAACUAGGAUUAGAUACCCUACUAUG